RNAcentral lists this long non-coding RNA (2674 nucleotides) under Sus scrofa (pig). RNAcentral's name for it is "lncRNA (ENSSSCG00060025073.1)". Lineage: Eukaryota; Metazoa; Chordata; Mammalia; Artiodactyla; Suidae. The record is from RNAcentral.
CAGGGACUUUCUGUUGGCUUAGAGUUACUGAUAAAGCUGCAAAGACGAAAACAGAAUGUCAUGUUCCCCUCCACUCUAAAGGUUCCCACAAGAACUGGGCACAAUGUCCUAUAGGAUUCACUAGGAGCUGUGACACUGGCACAACCUCUUGGUCCUAGGCCCACACUGAUAUGUAACCACGCAUCAGAGUCAGAUCCAGAGAAGAGGGUUCUUAUGGUCCUAGGAUGAGAACUUUGAGGCUCAGUCACCGUGGACGACUGGGCAUCCGAAGUUGCUGAAGCUUAGUAUCUUCAUGUCUUGAAAAACCACAGGUCCUCUUCGGAGCUACUACCUGUUCUUGGGAGAGCUUGCCAUGUGCCUCUGAAGAGUGUGUAUUUGGUGAUACUGGACUCGGGCCCUCCAUUCAAAAGGAUGCACCUAAGGGGAAGAGCUCUGGAGCACCUGGAAUAGGGGAGAUGGGCAGCUGUGGCAAGACCUGCAAAUCCGAAGCAACUUGCUGUAAUGCAAGAAGGGCUCAGCAGCCUCAUGGCAAAGCAAUUUUUUUUUCCUACAACUUAAAAAAAAAAUUUCAAGCCAACAGAAACAUUUUUAAAAUGUUUAUUUGGAUUUAUUAGUUGUGCAUACAGUUUGCCAGAUUAUUUACAAACACACACUUUUAUCUUGUUUUAGUUUUUUUUUUUUUUAUUAUUAUUUUCCCACUGUACAGCAAGGGGGUCAGGUCAUCCUUAGAUGUAUACAUUGCAGUUACAGUUUUUCACCCACCCUUUCUUCUGUUGCAACAGGAGUAUCUAGACAUAGUUCUCAAUGCUAUUCAGCAGGAUCUCCUUAUAAAUCUAUUCUAGGUUGUGUCUGAUAAGCCCAAGCUCCCGAUCCCUCCCACUCCCUCCCCCUCCCAUCAGGCAGCCACAAGUCUCUUCUCCAAGUCCAUGAUUUUCUUUUCUGAGGAGAUGUUCAUUUGUGCUGGAUAUUAGAUUCCAGUUAUAAGUGAUAUCAUAUGGUAUUUGUCUUUGUCUUUCUGGCUCAUUUCACUCAGUAUGAGAUUCUCUAGUUCCAUCCAUGUUGCUGCAAAUGGCAUUAUGUCAUACGUUUUUAUGGCUGAGUAGUAUUCCAUUGUGUAUAUAUACCACAUCUUCCGAAUCCAAUCAUCUGUCGAUGGACAUUUGGAUUGUUUCCAUGUCCUGGCUAUUGUGAAUAGGGCUGCAAUGAACAUGCGGGUGCAUGUGUCUCUUUUAAGUAGAGCUUUGUCCGGAUAGAUGCCCAAGAGUGGGAUUGCAGGGUCAUAUGGAAGUUCUAUGUAUAGAUUUCUAAGGUAUCUCCAAACUGUUCUCCAUAGUGGCUGUACCAGUUGACAUUCCCACCAGCAGUGCAGGAGGGUUCCCUUUUCUCCACAGCCCCUCCAGCACUUGUUAUUUGUGGAUUUAUUAAUGAUGGCCAUUCUGACUGGUGUGAGGUGGUAUCUCAUGGUAGUUUUGAUUUGCAUUUCUCUUACAAUCAGCGAUGUUGAGCAUUUUUUCAUGUGUUUGUUGGCCAUCUGUAUAUCUUCCUUGGAGAAAUGUCUAUUCAGGUCUUUUGCCCAUUUUUCCAUUGAUUGAUUGGCUUUUUUGCUGUUGAGUUGUAUAAGUUGCUUAUAUAUUCUAGAGAUUAAGCCCUUGUCAGUUGCAUCAUUUGAAACUAUUUUCUCCCAUUCUGUAAGUUGUCUUUUUGUUUUCUUUUUGGUUUCCUUUGCUGUGCAAAAGCUUUUCAGUUUGAUGAGGUCCCAUGGGUUUAUUUUUGCUCUAAUUUCUAUUGCUUUGGGAGACUGAUUGUUUUAGUUUUAACUGAACCAUUUGAGAGCUACCUGAAGAUACCCUUCACUCUUUUUUUUUUUUUUUUUUUUUUGUCUUUUUGCCAUUUCUUGGGCCGCUCCCACGGCAUAUGGAGGUUCCUGGGCUAGGGGUCUAAUCCGAGCUGUAGCCACCAGCCUACGCCAGAGCCACAGCAAUGUGGGAUCCGAGCCGCGUCUGCAACCUACACCACAGCUCAUGGCAACGCCGGAUCGUUAACCCACUGAGCAAGGGCAGGGACCGAACCUGCAACCUUAUGGUUUCUAGUCGGAUUCGUUAACCACUGCGCCACAACAGGAACUCCCCCUUCACUCUUUACCCCUAAAUACUUGUUCUCCUAAAAAGGAGGACAUUCUGGCAUGCAGCCACAAUGCUGUUAUCACACCUAAGACACUCAGCAGUGGCAUAAUUAAGUACAAUUUAAUUAUAUACAGUUCCAUGUUUAAAAUUCCCCAGUUUUCCAGUUCUCUCCUGUAUAGCUGUAGAUUUGUUUUGUUUGUGAUCCAGUGUUCACUUUAUUUUUUCUUUCAUGACAUUUUUUGAAGAGUCUAGACAAGUCUUACAGAAAAUUCUGCAAUCUGAAUCUAUCCUAUUUAUUUUUCAUGGUUAGAUUCAAGGAAGUCACUUGUGGUAAAAUACUGCAUGGGCCAUGUUAUCUCUUUACCAGUAUACCGUGUCAGGAGGCCCUUUCAUAGGCUUGAACUAUAUUAGUGACACUAAGUUUAAUCACUGGGCUUGUAACAGUUUUCUAUGCUUUUUUGUCUCUCCACCAAAAAACUGAAUCUGAUCAAGAUACUACAAGAAGCAAUCAGCUAAAUCUGGGAUGUGAAUAAAAUAGGCCAGUUUUCCCA